ACGAUGAAGCUUCUAGCUUGCUAGAAGUGGAUUAGUGGCGCACGGGUGAGUAAGGUAUAGUUAAUCUGCCCUACACAAGAGGACAACAGUUGGAAACGACUGCUAAUACUCUAUACUCCUGCUUAACACAAGUUGAGUAGGGAAAGUUUUUCGGUGUAGGAUGAGACUAUAUAGUAUCAGCUAGUUGGUAAGGUAAUGGCUUACCAAGGCUAUGACGCUUAACUGGUCUGAGAGGAUGAUCAGUCACACUGGAACUGAGACACGGUCCAGACUCCUACGGGAGGCAGCAGUAGGGAAUAUUGCGCAAUGGGGGAAACCCUGACGCAGCAACGCCGCGUGGAGGAUGACACUUUUCGGAGCGUAAACUCCUUUUCUUAGGGAAGAAUUCUGACGGUACCUAAGGAAUAAGCACCGGCUAACUCCGUGCCAGCAGCCGCGGUAAUACGGAGGGUGCAAGCGUUACUCGGAAUCACUGGGCGUAAAGGGCGCGUAGGCGGAUUAUCAAGUCUCUUGUGAAAUCUAAUGGCUUAACCAUUAAACUGCUUGGGAAACUGAUAGUCUAGAGUGGGGGA
This 572-nucleotide ribosomal RNA is filed under the name Campylobacter sp. S5fr 28. Its description in RNAcentral is "bacterial SSU rRNA". It matches the Rfam family "Bacterial small subunit ribosomal RNA", at positions 66 to 653 of the family's 1533-position model. Lineage: Bacteria; Pseudomonadati; Campylobacterota; Epsilonproteobacteria; Campylobacterales; Campylobacteraceae. The record is from RNAcentral.